Molecule: ribosomal RNA, 397 nt
Filed under: uncultured bacterium
Lineage: Bacteria
Description: partial 16S ribosomal RNA
Rfam family: Bacterial small subunit ribosomal RNA
Source: RNAcentral
AUACGUAGGGGGCGAGCGUUGUCCGGAAUGAUUGGGCGUAAAGGGCGCGUAGGCGGCCGCUUAAGUCUGGAGUGAAAGUCCUGUUUUCAAGAUGGGAAUUGCUUUGGAUACUGGGGGGCUUGAGUGCAGGAGAGGUUAUCGGAAUUCCCGGUGUAGCGGUGAAAUGCGUAGAGAUCGGGAGGAACACCAGUGGCGAAGGCGGGUAACUGGACUGCAACUGACGCUGAGGCGCGAAAGUGUGGGGAGCAAACAGGAUUAGAUACCCUGGUAGUCCACACUGUAAACGAUGAAUGCUAGGUGUAGGGGGUAUCGACCCCUUCUGUGCCGCAGUCAACACAAUAAGCAUUCCGCCUGGGGAGUACGGCCGCAAGGUUGAAACUCAAAGGAAUUGGCGGGG